This 519-nucleotide ribosomal RNA is filed under the name uncultured bacterium. RNAcentral's name for it is "bacterial SSU rRNA". It matches the Rfam family "Archaeal small subunit ribosomal RNA", at positions 345 to 866 of the family's 1478-position model. The record is from RNAcentral.
AACCUCCGCAAUGUGAGAAAUCGCGACGGGGGGAUCCCAAGUGCCAUUCUUAACGGGAUGGCUUUUCAUUAGUGUAAAGAGCUUUUGGAAUAAGGGCUGGGCAAGACCGGUGCCAGCCGCCGCGGUAACACCGACAGCUCUAGUGGUAGCAGUUUUUAUUGGGCCUAAAGCGUCCGUAGCCGGUUUAAUAAGUCUCUGGUGAAAUCCUGUAGCUUAACUGUGGGAAUUGCUGGAGAUACUAUUAGACUUGAGACCGGGAGAGGUUAGAGGUACUCCCAGGGUAGAGGUGAAAUUCUGUAAUCCUGGGAGGACCGCCCGUUGCGAAGGCGUCUAACUGGAACGGUUCUGACGGUGAGGGACGAAAGUUAGGGGCGCGAACCGGAUUAGAUACCCGGGUAGUCCUAACUGUAAACGAUGCGGACUUGGUGUUGGGUGGCUUUGAGCUGCUCCAGUGCCGAAGGGAAGCUGUUAAGUCCGCCGCCUGGGAAGUCGGUCGCAAGACUGAAACUUAAAGGAAUU